Molecule: ribosomal RNA, 1473 nt
Filed under: Bacillus licheniformis
Lineage: Bacteria; Bacillati; Bacillota; Bacilli; Caryophanales; Bacillaceae
Description: bacterial SSU rRNA
Rfam family: Bacterial small subunit ribosomal RNA
Source: RNAcentral
GACGAACGCUGGCGGCGUGCCUAAUACAUGCAAGUCGAGCGGACCGACGGGAGCUUGCUCCCUUAGGUCAGCGGCGGACGGGUGAGUAACACGUGGGUAACCUGCCUGUAAGACUGGGAUAACUCCGGGAAACCGGGGCUAAUACCGGAUGCUUGAUUGAACCGCAUGGUUCCAAUCAUAAAAGGUGGCUUUUAGCUACCACUUACAGAUGGACCCGCGGCGCAUUAGCUAGUUGGUGAGGUAACGGCUCACCAAGGCGACGAUGCGUAGCCGACCUGAGAGGGUGAUCGGCCACACUGGGACUGAGGCACGGCCCAGACUCCUACGGGAGGCAGCAGUAGGGAAUCUUCCGCAAUGGACGAAAGUCUGACGGAGCAACGCCGCGUGAGUGAUGAAGGUUUUCGGAUCGUAAAACUCUGUUGUUAGGGAAGAACAAGUACCGUUCGAAUAGGGCGGCACCUUGACGGUACCUAACCAGAAAGCCACGGCUAACUACGUGCCAGCAGCCGCGGUAAUACGUAGGUGGCAAGCGUUGUCCGGAAUUAUUGGGCGUAAAGCGCGCGCAGGCGGUUUCUUAAGUCUGAUGUGAAAGCCCCCGGCUCAACCGGGGAGGGUCAUUGGAAACUGGGGAACUUGAGUGCAGAAGAGGAGAGUGGAAUUCCAGGUGUAGCGGUGAAAUGCGUAGAGAUGUGGAGGAACACCAGUGGCGAAGGCGACUCUCUGGUCUGUAACUGACGCUGAGGCGCGAAAGCGUGGGGAGCGAACAGGAUUAGAUACCCUGGUAGUCCACGCCGUAAACGAUGAGUGCUAAGUGUUAGAGGGUUUCCGCCCUUUAGUGCUGCAGCAAACGCAUUAAGCACUCCGCCUGGGGAGUACGGUCGCAAGACUGAAACUCAAAGGAAUUGACGGGGGCCCGCACAAGCGGUGGAGCAUGUGGUUUAAUUCGAAGCAACGCGAAGAACCUUACCAGGUCUUGACAUCCCCUGACAACCCUAGAGAUAGGGCUUCCCCUUCGGGGGCAGAGUGACAGGUGGUGCAUGGUUGUCGUCAGCUCGUGUCGUGAGAUGUUGGGUUAAGUCCCGCAACGAGCGCAACCCUUGAUCUUAGUUGCCAGCAUUCAGUUGGGCACUCUAAGGUGACUGCCGGUGACAAACCGGAGGAAGGUGGGGAUGACGUCAAAUCAUCAUGCCCCUUAUGACCUGGGCUACACACGUGCUACAAUGGGCAGAACAAAGGGCAGCGAAGCCGCGAGGCUAAGCCAAUCCCACAAAUCUGUUCUCAGUUCGGAUCGCAGUCUGCAACUCGACUGCGUGAAGCUGGAAUCGCUAGUAAUCGCGGAUCAGCAUGCCGCGGUGAAUACGUUCCCGGGCCUUGUACACACCGCCCGUCACACCACGAGAGUUUGUAACACCCGAAGUCGGUGAGGUAACCAUUUGGAGCCAGCCGCCGAAGGUGGGAUAGAUGAUUGGGGUG